AGCGAACGCUGGCGGCAGGCCUAACACAUGCAAGUCGAACGAACCUUUCGGGGUUAGUGGCGGACGGGUGAGUAACACGUGGGAACGUGCCUUUAGGUUCGGAAUCACUCAGGGAAACUUGUGCUAAUACCGAAUGUGCCCUUCGGGGGACAGAUUUAUCGCCUUUAGAGCGGCCCGCGUCUGCUUAGCUAGUUGGUUGAGGUAAUGGCUCACCAAGGCGACGAUCAGUAGCUGGUCGGAGAGGAUGAUCAGCCACAUUGGGACUGAGACACGGCCCAAACUCCUACGGGAGGCAGCAGUGGGGAGUCUUGCGCAAUGGGCGAAAGCCUGACGCAGCCAUGCCGCGUGAAUGAUGAAGGUCUUAGGAUUGUAAAAUUCUUUCACCGGGGACGAUAAUGACGGUACCCGGAGAAGAAGCCCCGGCUAACUUCGUG
RNAcentral lists this ribosomal RNA (434 nucleotides) under uncultured bacterium. RNAcentral describes it as "partial 16S ribosomal RNA". It matches the Rfam family "Bacterial small subunit ribosomal RNA", at positions 29 to 507 of the family's 1533-position model. The record is from RNAcentral.